RNAcentral lists this small nuclear RNA (104 nucleotides) under Dasypus novemcinctus (nine-banded armadillo). Lineage: Eukaryota; Metazoa; Chordata; Mammalia; Cingulata; Dasypodidae. The record is from RNAcentral.
GUGCUCGCUUUGGCAGCACAUAUACUAGAAUUGAAAUGAUUCAGAGAUUAGCAUAGCACCCGCACAAGGAUGAUACACAAAUUUGUGAUGUUCCAUAUUUUUUU